GGUCAAGCGAACAAGUGCAUGUGGUGGAUGCCUUGGCGAUCACAGGCGAUGAAGGACGCGGUAGCCUGCGAAAAGCUCCGGGGAGCUGGCAAACAAGCUUUGAUCCGGAGAUGUCCGAAUGGGGAAACCCACUCCUUCUGGAGUAUCCGUGGCUGAAUACAUAGGCCAUGUGAAGCGAACGCGGCGAACUGAAACAUCUAAGUAGCCGCAGGAAAAGAAAUCAACCGAGAUUCCCAGAGUAGUGGCGAGCGAAAUGGGAGCAGCCUGUACUCUUUAUCUGAACUGUUAGCCAAACGCUCUGGAAAGUGCGGCCAUAGCGGGUGAUAGCCCCGUAGGCGAAAACAGGUUGGAAGAACUGGGUGUACGACAAGUAGGGCGGGACACGUGAAAUCCUGUCUGAAGAUGGGGGGACCAUCCUCCAAGGCUAAAUACUCGUGAUCGACCGAUAGUGAACCAGUACCGUGAGGGAAAGGCGAAAAGAACCCCGGGAGGGGAGUGAAACAGAUCCUGAAACCGCAUGCAUACAAACAGUCGGAGCCUCGAAAGGGGUGACGGCGUACCUUUUGUAUAAUGGGUCAGCGACUUACAUUCAGUGGCGAGCUUAACCGUAUAGGGCAGGCGUAGCGAAAGCGAGUCCGAACAGGGCGUCCAGUCGCUGGGUGUAGACCCGAAACCAGGUGAUCUAUCCAUGGCCAGGCUGAAGGUGCGGUAACACGUACUGGAGGGCCGAACCCACUGACGUUGAAAAGUCAGGGGAUGAGCUGUGGAUAGGGGUGAAAGGCUAAACAAACCUGGAAAUAGCUGGUUCUCUCCGAAAACUAUUUAGGUAGUGCCUCGUGUAUCACCUUCGGGGGUAGAGCACUGUCAUGGUUGAGGGGUCCAUUGCGGAUUACCUCGCCAUAGCAAACUCCGAAUACCGAAGAGUGCAAUCACGGGAGACAGACAUCGGGUGCUAACGUCCGGUGUCAAGAGGGAAACAACCCAGACCGCCAGCUAAGGUCCCCAAACAUGGCUAAGUGGGAAACGAAGUGGGAAGGCUAAAACAGUCAGGAGGUUGGCUUAGAAGCAGCCACCCUUUAAAGAAAGCGUAAUAGCUCACUGAUCGAGUCGUCCUGCGCGGAAGAUGUAACGGGGCUAAGCCAUGUACCGAAGCUGCGGAUGCGAGCUUGCUCGCAUGGUAGGAGAGCGUUCCGUAAGCCUGCGAAGGUGCACCGGAAGGUGUGCUGGAGGUAUCGGAAGUGCGAAUGCUGACAUGAGUAGCGAUAAAGGGGGUGAAAGGCCCCCUCGCCGUAAGCCCAAGGUUUCCUACGCAACGUUCAUCGGCGUAGGGUGAGUCGGCCCCUAAGGCGAGGCAGAAAUGCGUAGCUGAUGGGAAGCAGGUCAAGAUUCCUGCACCGGCGUGAAAUGCGAUGGGGGGACGGAUCGCGGAAGGUUGUCCGGGUGUUGGAAGUCCCGGUCGCUGCAUUGGAGAAGGUGCCCUGGCAAAUCCGGGCACGCAAUUCAAGGGUGUGGCGCGAGCGGCCUCGGCUGCGAAGCAACUGGAAGGGGUUCCAGGAAAAGCCUCUAAGCUUCAGUUUCACGUUGACCGUACCGCAAACCGACACAGGUGGGCGAGAUGAGUAUUCUAAGGCGCUUGAGAGAACUCGGGAGAAGGAACUCGGCAAACUGGUACCGUAACUUCGGGAUAAGGUACGCCCUGGUAGCUUGACCGGCCUGCGCCGGAAGGGUGAAGGGGUUGCAAUAAACUGGUGGCUGCGACUGUUUAAUAAAAACACAGCACUCUGCAAACACGAAAGUGGACGUAUAGGGUGUGACGCCUGCCCGGUGCCGGAAGAUUAAAUGAUGGGGUGCAAGCUCUUGAUUGAAGUCCCGGUAAACGGCGGCCGUAACUAUAACGGUCCUAAGGUAGCGAAAUUCCUUGUCGGGUAAGUUCCGACCUGCACGAAUGGCGUAACGAUGGCCACACUGUCUCCUCCCGAGACUCAGCGAAGUUGAAGUGUUUGUGAUGAUGCAAUCUACCCGCGGCUAGACGGAAAGACCCCAUGAACCUUUACUGCAGCUUUGCAUUGGACUUUGAACCGGUCUGUGUAGGAUAGGUGGGAGGCUGUGAAGCGUGGACGCCAGUCUGCGUGGAGCCAACCUUGAAAUACCACCCUGGCUUGUUUGAGGUUCUAACCCAGGUCCGUGAAUCCGGAUCGGGGACAGUGCAUGGCAGGCAGUUUGACUGGGGCGGUCUCCUCCCAAAGCGUAACGGAGGAGUACGAAGGUACGCUAGGUACGGUCGGAAAUCGUGCUGAUAGUGCAAUGGCAUAAGCGUGCUUGACUGCGAGACCGACAAGUCGAGCAGGUGCGAAAGCAGGUCAUAGUGAUCCGGUGGUUCUGUAUGGAAGGGCCAUCGCUCAACGGAUAAAAGGUACUCUGGGGAUAACAGGCUGAUACCGCCCAAGAGUUCAUAUCGACGGCGGUGUUUGGCACCUCGAUGUCGGCUCAUCUCAUCCUGGGGCUGUAGCCGGUCCCAAGGGUAUGGCUGUUCGCCAUUUAAAGAGGUACGUGAGCUGGGUUUAAAACGUCGUGAGACAGUUUGGUCCCUAUCUGCCGUGGGCGCUGGAAGUUUGAGGGGGCCUGCUCCUAGUACGAGAGGACCGGAGUGGACGAACCUCUGGUGUACCGGUUGUCACGCCAGUGGCAUCGCCGGGUAGCUAUGUUCGGAAGAGAUAACCGCUGAAAGCAUCUAAGCGGGAAACUCGCCUCAAGAUGAGACUUCCCCGGGGCUUCGAGCCCCUUGAAGGGUCGUUCAAGACCAGGACGUUGAUAGGCCGGGUGUGGAAGCGCAGUAAUGCGUUAAGCUAACCGGUACUAAUUGCCCGUAAGGCUUGAUCCU
This 2881-nucleotide ribosomal RNA is filed under the name Paraburkholderia sp. SUR17. Its description in RNAcentral is "23S ribosomal RNA". It matches the Rfam family "Bacterial large subunit ribosomal RNA". Lineage: Bacteria; Pseudomonadati; Pseudomonadota; Betaproteobacteria; Burkholderiales; Burkholderiaceae. The record is from RNAcentral.